RNAcentral lists this ribosomal RNA (508 nucleotides) under uncultured bacterium. RNAcentral describes it as "partial 16S ribosomal RNA". It matches the Rfam family "Bacterial small subunit ribosomal RNA", at positions 28 to 523 of the family's 1533-position model. The record is from RNAcentral.
GAUGAACGCUAGCUACAGGCUUAACACAUGCAAGUCGAGGGGAAACGACAUUGAAAGCUUGCUUUUGAUGGGCGUCGACCGGCGCACGGGUGAGUAACGCGUAUCCAACCUGCCCACCACUUGGGGAUAACCUUGCGAAAGUAAGACUAAUACCCAAUGAUAUCUCUAGAAGACAUCUGAAAGGGAUUAAAGAUUCAUCGGUGAUGGAUGGGGAUGCGCCUGAUUAGCUUGUUGGCGGGGUAACGGCCCACCAAGGCGACGAUCAGUAGGGGUUCUGAGAGGAAGGUCCCCCACAUUGGAACUGAGACACGGUCCAAACUCCUACGGGAGGCAGCAGUGAGGAAUAUUGGUCAAUGGACGAGAGUCUGAACCAGCCAAGUAGCGUGCAGGAUGACGGCCCUAUGGGUUGUAAACUGCUUUUAUAAGGGAAUAAAGUGAGUCUCGUGAGACUUUUUGCAUGUACCUUAUGAAUAAGGACCGGCUAAUUCCGUGCCAGCAGCCGCGGUAA